UAACAGCGCAGGAAGAGGUGACUGGCUGGU
Molecule: non-coding RNA, 30 nt
Filed under: Homo sapiens (human)
Lineage: Eukaryota; Metazoa; Chordata; Mammalia; Primates; Hominidae
Source: RNAcentral